GCUGGGUGCGGUGGCGCAUGCCUGUAAUCCUAGUAGCUUGGGAGGCUGAGGUGGGAGGAUCUCAAGGCAAUGUCCACCAACCAUCAU
RNAcentral lists this small RNA (87 nucleotides) under Marmota monax (woodchuck). The record is from RNAcentral. Lineage: Eukaryota; Metazoa; Chordata; Mammalia; Rodentia; Sciuridae.